Molecule: ribosomal RNA, 380 nt
Filed under: uncultured eukaryote
Lineage: Eukaryota
Description: partial 18S ribosomal RNA
Rfam family: Eukaryotic small subunit ribosomal RNA
Source: RNAcentral
CAAUAGCGUAUAUUAAAGUUGUUGCAGUUAAAAAGCUCGUAGUUGGAUUUGUGGCUGUCACGGGCGGCCUAUCACUUAGUGUUAGUGCUUGCCUGUGUCGCCAUCCUUGGGUGGAGCCCGUGUGGCAUUAGGUUGUCGUGCGGGGGAUGCCCAUCGUUUACUGUGAGAAAAUUAGAGUGUUCAAAGCAGGCUUAUGCCGUUGAAUAUGUUAGCAUGGAAUAAUAAGAUAGGACCUCGGUACUAUUUUGUUGGUUUGCGCACCGAGGUAAUGAUUAAUAGGGACAGUUGGGGGUAUUCGUAUUUCAUUGUCAGAGGUGAAAUUCUUGGAUUUCUGAAAGGCGAACUACUGCGAAAGCAUUUACCAAGGAUGUUUUCAUUAA